Molecule: long non-coding RNA, 2402 nt
Organism: Sarcophilus harrisii (Tasmanian devil)
Lineage: Eukaryota; Metazoa; Chordata; Mammalia; Dasyuromorphia; Dasyuridae
Exons: 3
Source: RefSeq, a predicted model, not a curated record
UUUAGCUCAUCAUUUCUUAUAGCACAGUAAAAUUCCAUCACAAUUGUAUAUUGCAACUUGUUUAGCCAAUUCCCAGUUGAUGAGUAUCCCUGCAAUUUCCAAUUCUUUGCUACCCCAAGAUGAGCUUCUAUAAACAUAUAGCUUCUUUUCCUUUUUCCUUAAUCAUUUUUGGAAAUAGACCAAGAGAUAUAAUGUUUGAACUACCAAGGUGCUAAGUCUCUGGCAUUAACUUAGGUCCAUAGCUCAAUCUUCUGUCUUUAUUUUUUAAAUUUUUUUUCUUUUUUGUUCAGCAAUCUAGAAAUUUCUCUUCUGUUAAUACCAGUGAUUCCUCUUCCUUCCUAAACCAGGGCUUCCUCAUGUUACAUUUUCAGAUCAGACUCUAAUUGACACCUCUUGCUAGUUCAUGGUUCCAGAUUAGCCUUAUAUACCAUCUUGACUGGUGCAAACAAUGGCACUUCACAAUUAACCUUCAAAUUUUCCUUGGUCAAUCAUUUUGCUGGAAUUUCACUGACCUGUCUUUCUCACCUUGAGGUUGGUUCACAUUUAUUAUUUUUCCCUCUUGUCUCAUCACAUAUGCAGAAGGCUAACCCUAUACAUGGAAAAUAGGGCUGCCAAGUGAAGUACAGGGGUUAGAAACCUCUAAAGAGGGAACAUCUCCCUGACAAGCUGUUAGAAGCUGAGCUGAUCAGAGAUGCAAGUGGCCCCUUCCACUCAAGGAAAAGUUCCUGUGCCCUCUUGGCUGACAGAGGGAGUUCUAUUCAUUUAAUAUUUGAUGGGGCUGCCUUGCCAAUGUUUAUUUAAGUAUUCUCUGUUCAUCAGAGAUUCCUAUGGAGGAGGAAAAUGUGCUGAGGAACAGCACAACUAGCUUCUCAUACUCGGCAAAGGUCAGAAGGGGAAUGGCUGACAAAUUUGACAGAUCUUUUUAAAAGUUUAAUCUCAAAAGUGAUUUUUCUUUCCCUGUAUGAAGACAGAUCCCUAGUCUCUGUCAUUCUUACCAGUCCCAUACAGCAAGUGCUUCACUGGCUGAUCUGUUUUAUGAAAGAAAGAUUUAUCCAUUAAGAAAAAAAAAAAAAAGAAAACUUUGGCUGAACAUAGAUUCCCUUUCUCAGGGAUGAGACUGAAAGAAUCUUAUAUGUACUGGAGCUCAUUUAUCAGCCCAAUAUUCCUGUAUUUGGGCAUAUCAGUUGGAUAUUAUUAUCCUCAUUCUAUUAUAAUGAAUACAAAGUCCCAAAGAGUUUAAGUGAUCUAUCCAGCAUUUCAUAGCUAAUCUAAUCAUUUCACUGAUUCAGAUCUUUCAUUCUUUCUCAAGAUUCUAGUUCUCCAGGCAGCCUAACUGCUGAAUUUGAACUAGGCAACCAAAUUUCAACUAUCUUCCCUAAAUUUCAGGACUGUUCUCCCCAGUUCAGGAUAAAGAAGCCUGUUUACAGCCAAAUAGAAAGCAUCAACUAUCCAUAAUUCUUAGGAAUACUAAUAAGCAGUUCUCAGGGGUAUGGAUAUGUAACAGGAAGGAGGUAAAGAGAGACAGCAGCAUUGUUGAUGGAUGACCACAGCAAGAAGUCAGAGAACCUGCUGAGCCCAGAAUGCAGACAACUGCAGGAGACUGGGGCAUGUUGGGAAGAAGGGAAGGCACAACACAGGCUUUAUGUGUGAGAGUCCUGGAAUGAUCAGAGAGCACUCAGUGGCUCAUAUACGAUGUCCACAUAUCACUCUGACCCAUAGAGGGCAAUUUUGACAUCAUAAAAGUCUGGAUCGUAAGUAUGCAUUUGAACAGCUAAAUGAAUAUUGCCUCCCUCUCUACCCAUCUAUACUGAGAUGCCAUGGAAAAUAACUCCAUUGUCUCAAACUAACUAAUUUAAUUAAAUGUCAUCAUAGAAAACUCUGAUUUGGGGAUCCUUUCUACCAGUUUUCCUUCAGGAAGACAAUAAUGAUGUGGUGGUAGUGGUGGUAGCAGCAGCAAUGUUAAUAGUGAUACUAGUAGCAGCAAUAAUUGCAAUGGUGGUAACAGCUGUAGCAGAGUAAUAGUAGUAGCAAUCGUAGUAGCAAUAGUGAUAGCAGAGGUAGUGGUGAUGGUAGGCAGUUUGGGGACCCAGGACAAACAGCACCAGCCCUGGGGUCAGAAAAUUAGGAAGAAGGGUCUUCCUGAGGUAAAAUAUGGCCUCAGACACUUACUAGCUGUGUGACCCUGGGCAAGUCACUUAACCUUGUUUGCCUCAGUUUCACAUGUAUAAAAUAAACUGGAGAAGGAAAUAGUUAAACCACUCCAUUAUCUUUGUCAAGAAAACCCCAAAUGGGGAACAGACACAACAGUAGCUGCAACAGGAACAACUAUAGGAAUGGUGAUGGUGAUAAUAUUUAGUAUAAGUGGUAGUAGUAGUAGUAGUAGUAGUAGUAGCAGUUGUUGU